GUGCCCGUGUGGCGUGCUGGCUAGCGGUGGGUUGGAACAGACAAGCAGUUAUUCUAGUAACGAUCAGUGCACGAAGUGGAGCUUCGGAACUGGCAUUACAGACGGAGAGCGAGCGGAGCCGGGAUGAGAAAAAGAGUCGAGAGGAAAAACACUCACAGUUGGUGAAUCAGGCGGCAACUGACGUCGGCAAGGUUUCGGAGCUCCUGACAUGAAGAGAACGAUGUCUGAGCGGCGAACAGGUUAAAGGAUGAACUCUGAUGAUGAAAGCCCACGCCUCAGAGAAACCCGGAAUGGAGUUUCUUACAAUUUGGUGUCAGAAGUGGGAUCCGCUGACAAAGCCUCUCCCUUCUACAGAUCCAACCCAUCCGUGGAAACCAGGAGACGCGGUGUUGGUGAAGUCGCU
Astatotilapia calliptera (eastern happy) is the source of this 403-nucleotide long non-coding RNA. The record is from Ensembl. Lineage: Eukaryota; Metazoa; Chordata; Actinopteri; Cichliformes; Cichlidae.